This 336-nucleotide long non-coding RNA is filed under the name Bos taurus (domestic cattle). RNAcentral describes it as "long non-coding RNA NONBTAT006689". Lineage: Eukaryota; Metazoa; Chordata; Mammalia; Artiodactyla; Bovidae. The record is from RNAcentral.
UUCUUUCUCAUAACAGGAAAUUCAGUUUCAGCUUCGCAAAGAAACAAUAGAGGGUUGGAAGAAAAAAUAUGAGCCAAGUGAGAAAACAUCUAAGAAGGUAGAAGGGAAUCCUAACGAAGAAUGCGAUAUCAAGGGUGAUUGAAAGUGUGUAAUGUAAAUGGAUGGAUGAUACUAACACCACAUUUAGGGCUGCAGUGAAAAGACACAUUCAGGAGCCAAGAGCCAGUUUCUCCACCCCUGCUCCAAGUUAGAAGUGGGAGACCGUAAUGUGUAUGGAGAAGUUACUCAGGAAAACUGGAUUUCUCUUGGUAUGAAACAGAAAGAGAAGAGGCAGAG